RNAcentral lists this ribosomal RNA (720 nucleotides) under uncultured Pediococcus sp. RNAcentral's name for it is "bacterial SSU rRNA". It matches the Rfam family "Bacterial small subunit ribosomal RNA", at positions 59 to 736 of the family's 1533-position model. Lineage: Bacteria; Bacillati; Bacillota; Bacilli; Lactobacillales; Lactobacillaceae. The record is from RNAcentral.
AGGUCGACGAACUUCCGUUAAUUGAUUAUGACGUACUUGUACUGAUUGAGAUUUUAACACGAAGUGAGUGGCGAACGGGUGAGUAACACGUGGGUAAUCUGCCCAGAAGUAGGGGAUAACACCUGGAAACAGAUGCUAAUACCGUAUAACAGAGAAAACCGCAUGGUUUUCUUUUAAAAGAUGGCUCUGCUAUCACUUCUGGAUGGACCCGCGGCGUAUUAGCUAGUUGGUGAGGUAAAGGCUCACCAAGGCAGUGAUACGUAGCCGACCUGAGAGGGUAAUCGGCCACAUUGGGACUGAGACACGGCCCAGACUCCUACGGGAGGCAGCAGUAGGGAAUCUUCCACAAUGGACGCAAGUCUGAUGGAGCAACGCCGCGUGAGUGAAGAAGGGUUUCGGCUCGUAAAGCUCUGUUGUUAAAGAAGAACGUGGGUAAGAGUAACUGUUUACCCAGUGACGGUAUUUAACCAGAAAGCCACGGCUAACUACGUGCCAGCAGCCGCGGUAAUACGUAGGUGGCAAGCGUUAUCCGGAUUUAUUGGGCGUAAAGCGAGCGCAGGCGGUCUUUUAAGUCUAAUGUGAAAGCCUUCGGCUCAACCGAAGAAGUGCAUUGGAAACUGGGAGACUUGAGUGCAGAAGAGGACAGUGGAACUCCAUGUGUAGCGGUGAAAUGCGUAGAUAUAUGGAAGACACCAGUGGCGAAGGCGGCUGUCUGGUCUG